CUGGAUCAUCAACAUGCAUUCCACGAUCUCCAGGACCUCAAUCUUGGACAAUCUAUCUUGCAACCGAGCUAUGCUUUCCACCGACAAAUCCACCUUUCCCUCUCUUCUAAAUUGGAAAACUCUAGGUAGAGUGAAAUUUUUUUACAAUCGAAUCUUCCAUAAAAAGAAAAAUAUCUUAUCCCAAUCAAUCUAUGUGACAAAUCUGGAAAGUUAUCAAGACUCCGAGAUG
Molecule: long non-coding RNA, 229 nt
Filed under: Elaeis guineensis (African oil palm)
Lineage: Eukaryota; Viridiplantae; Streptophyta; Magnoliopsida; Arecales; Arecaceae
Description: long non-coding RNA (EGUI_LNC002182)
Source: RNAcentral